Molecule: ribosomal RNA, 502 nt
Filed under: uncultured bacterium
Lineage: Bacteria
Description: partial 16S ribosomal RNA
Rfam family: Bacterial small subunit ribosomal RNA
Source: RNAcentral
AUUGAACGCUGGCGGCAUGCCUAACACAUGCAAGUCGAACGGCAGCACAGCCCGCAAGGGUGGGUGGCGAGUGGCGGACGGGUGAGGAAUACAUGGGAAUCUACCCUGUCGUGGGGGAUAACGUAGGGAAACUUACGCUAAUACCGCAUACGACCUCCGGGUGAAAGCGGCGGACCGCAAGGCGUCGCGCGACUGGAAGAGCCCAUGUCGGAUUAGCUAGUUGGCGGGGUAAAGGCCCACCAAGGCGACGAUCCGUAGCUGGUCUGAGAGGAUGAUCAGCCACACUGGAACUGAGACACGGUCCAGACUCCUACGGGAGGCAGCAGUGGGGAAUAUUGGACAAUGGGCGCAAGCCUGAUCCAGCAAUGCCGCGUGGGUGAAGAAGGCCUUCGGGUUGUAAAGCCCUUUUGUACGGGAAGAAAUCCUGUCGGUUAAUACCCGGCGGGGAUGACGGUACCGUAAGAAUAAGCACCGGCUAACUUCGUGCCAGCAGCCGCAGUAA